CUUAACAAAAUUAGAGGCAAAUACUUCUAUAAUAAAGACUAUAAGUCAGCGUUUUUCAACGACAGUACUCGGGUCUUUACGUUUGACACGGAAGAGGCACUGAAGGCUAAGAUGUGUGCCUACAAGGAAAGAGUAAAAAAAUUACACUUCAGCAUCGCCGUGUACGACAUUGAUGCCGACGAGUCAACAGACCCGUGCAAUAAGACCAAAUACACGGGCCGGUACAGUAGGCUGAAGCUGCUCCGCAAGCUGAACGGCUUCAUGGAGAAUUACACCAACAAGAAGGACUGCGAAAGUGUAUCCUAGCAAGUGUUUACAGUGGCUGUGGUGCGUGGCGUAGGGAAACGACCUGAUGCCUGAUUGUCUACUACGAUUACUGGUGAAAACUGCACAUUUUCUUUUGCGUGUAUAUACCUCCUCCUUACAUAAUCUAGCUACCCUAUGUUAUUUCAGCGACA
RNAcentral lists this long non-coding RNA (458 nucleotides) under Dermacentor andersoni. RNAcentral describes it as "uncharacterized LOC126529336". Lineage: Eukaryota; Metazoa; Arthropoda; Arachnida; Ixodida; Ixodidae. The record is from RNAcentral.